AGCGAACGCUGGCGGCAGGCCUAACACAUGCAAGUCGAACGAAGUCUUCGGACUUAGUGGCGGACGGGUGAGUAACACGUGGGAACGUGCCUUUAGGUUCGGAAUAACUCAGGGAAACUUGUGCUAAUACCGAAUGUGCCCUUCGGGGGAAAGAUUUAUCGCCUUUAGAGCGGCCCGCGUCUGAUCAGCUAGUUGGUGAGGUAAAGGCUCACCAAGGCGACGAUCAGUAGCUGGUCUGAGAGGAUGAUCAGCCACAUUGGGACUGAGCACACGGCCCAAACUCCUACGGGAGGCUGCAGUGGGGAAUCUUGCGCAAUGGGCGAGAGCCUGACGCAGCCAUGCCGCGUGAAUGAUGAAGGUCUUAGGAUUGUAAAAUUCUUUCACCGGGGACGAUGAUGACGGUACCCGGAGAAGAAGCCCCGGCUAACUUCGUGCCAGCAGCCGCCGCGG
RNAcentral lists this ribosomal RNA (450 nucleotides) under uncultured bacterium. RNAcentral describes it as "partial 16S ribosomal RNA". It matches the Rfam family "Bacterial small subunit ribosomal RNA", at positions 29 to 523 of the family's 1533-position model. The record is from RNAcentral.